Epinephelus fuscoguttatus (brown-marbled grouper) is the source of this 417-nucleotide long non-coding RNA. RefSeq lists it as uncharacterized. Lineage: Eukaryota; Metazoa; Chordata; Actinopteri; Perciformes; Serranidae. The record is from RefSeq and is a predicted model, not a curated record. The transcript has 3 exons.
GAUUCAGGUGUGAACAGGUGACAUCAGGUGUAAACAGGUGACAUCAGGUGUGAACAGAUAGAUUCAGGUGUGAACAGAUAGAUUCAGGUGUGAACAGGUGACAUCGGGUGUGAACAGAUAGAUUCAGGUGUGAACAGAUAGAUUCAGGUGUGAACAGGUGACAUCGGGUGUGAACAGAUAGAUUCAGGUGUGAACAGAUAGAUUCAGGUGUGAACAGGUGACAUCGGGUGUGAACAGAUAGAUUCAGGUGUGAACAGAUAGAUUCAGGUGUGAGCAGGUGACAUCAGCUGUGAACCGGUGACAUCAGGUGUAAACAGAUAGAUUCAGGUGUGAACCGAUGACAUCAGGUGUGAACAGGUGACAUCAGGUGUAAACAGAUAGAUUCAGGUGUGAACAGGUGACAUCAGGUGUGAACAG